CAGAGACUGCAAGCGUUAUUCGGAUUCACUGGGCGUAAAGGGUGCGCAGGCGGUUGGGUGUGUCAGAUGUGAAAUCCCGAGGCUUAACCUCGGAACUGCGCCUGAAACUACUCGACUAGAGUACUGGAGAGGGUAACGGAAUUCACGGUGUAGCAGUGAAAUGCGUAGAUAUCGUGAGGAACACCAGAGGCGAAGGCGGUUACCUGGACAGUUACCGACGCUCAGGCACGAAAGCAUGGGGAGCAAAAGGGAUUAGAUACCCCUGUAGUCCAUGCCCUAAACGGUGCACACUAGGUCUUAGCGGAUUCGACCCCACUAGGGCCCAAGCUAACGCGUUAAGUGUGCCGCCUGAGGACUACGGUCGCAAGACUA
Molecule: ribosomal RNA, 372 nt
Filed under: uncultured organism
Description: bacterial SSU rRNA
Rfam family: Bacterial small subunit ribosomal RNA
Source: RNAcentral